GACGGAGGGUGCAAGCGUUGUUCGGAUUGACUGGGCGGAAAGGGCGUGUAGGCGGUCGGCCAAGUCUGAUGUGAAAGCCCGAGGCUCAGCCUCGGAAGUGCGUCGGAAACUAGUCGGCUGGAGCGCGAUAGAGGAGGGUGGAAUUCCUGGUGUAGCGGUGAAAUGCGUAGAUAUCAGGAGGAACACCGGCGGCGAAGGCGGCCCUCUGGAUCGUUGCUGACGCUGAGACGCGAAAGCGUGGGGAGCAAACAGG
Molecule: ribosomal RNA, 253 nt
Filed under: uncultured bacterium
Lineage: Bacteria
Description: partial 16S ribosomal RNA
Rfam family: Bacterial small subunit ribosomal RNA
Source: RNAcentral